UCGAGAAUUUUUCUCAAUGGGGGAAACCCUGAAGGAGCGACGCCGCGUGGAGGAUGAAGGUCUUCGGAUUGUAAACUCCUGUCAUUGGGGAACAAUGGUUGCGCGUUAACUGCGCGCGACUUGAUAGUACCCGAAGAGGAAGAGACGGCUAACUCUGUGCCAGCAGCCGCGGUAAUACAGAGGUCUCAAGCGUUGUUCGGAUUCAUUGGGCGUAAAGGGUGCGUAGGCGGCGCGGUAAGUCGGAUGUGAAAUCUCGGAGCUUAACUCCGAAACUGCAUUCGAUACUGCCGUGCUUGAGGACUGGAGAGGAGACUGGAAUUUACGGUGUAGCGGUGAAAUGCGUAGAUAUCGUAAGGAAGACCAGUGGCGAAGGCGGGUCUCUGGACAGUUCCUGACGCUGAGGCACGAAGGCCAGGGGAGCAAACG
Molecule: ribosomal RNA, 426 nt
Filed under: uncultured Spartobacteria bacterium
Lineage: Bacteria; Pseudomonadati; Verrucomicrobiota; Spartobacteria
Description: partial 16S ribosomal RNA
Rfam family: Bacterial small subunit ribosomal RNA
Source: RNAcentral